Molecule: RNA transcript, 3842 nt
Organism: Brachypodium distachyon (stiff brome)
Lineage: Eukaryota; Viridiplantae; Streptophyta; Magnoliopsida; Poales; Poaceae
Gene name: pentatricopeptide repeat-containing protein At2g26790, mitochondrial
Exons: 5
Source: RefSeq, a predicted model, not a curated record
CCAGCAAACGAUCUAGGCCAUCCAAAUCCGUCGCCUCUGCAGCCGCCAUUCCUCCGCUGACCUACCCAAGCUCCCGGGCCGACGACCCCCGGCGGCUGUUAAACCUCUCCUAUACCCAGCCGUCCGCCGCGCCGGAGUUCCCAGUUCCACCCACCGCGUCCCAGCUGUCUCCACCAACGUCCCGUGACCCGCCCCCUUCUCCUCCUUCCUCCCAACCAACCACGGCGGCGCGCCCGCCCGCCUCCCCCCCGCGCCGGCGGUGGCUCGUCCCAGCUGCUUCCCUCUCCCCCCUCUGAACCCCUCCCACGCCCGACCCCUCCGCCGCUCUCUGCCCGUCGCCGCCGCCCACGAGCCCGUCGCGGGUCGCCCUCCGCCUCGGCUCGCGCGCCACCUGUCCGCCCAUCUCCCCCCCUCCUCUCUUCUGCCCUCGGCCGUCACUCCGCUCCUGGCUUCUCCGUGAAGCUGACUUCAACGCCACCGCUGCACUGCUGGGAAGAAUCCCCGUGGCGGCACCGGCCGGCCUAUGCGGAGCUGGUAGCUAGGUCCGUGCGUGUCUCCCAUGCUCCUGUUGCGGCGGCAGCGCAAAUGUGUCGGUGAAUGGUGCAGGCACAUCGGAGCUUCACCCACGGAAUCGUCUCCUCGCUGCCGCUUCUCCGUGCUUGCUGCUUCGGUUCAGCCGGAAUACUCCUCGAGCGGCGACGAGAGGCUGAACUUUGCUGCUAAUGAGCUUGCCGAGAGAAGAAGCUGCCCGCUGAGCCCUGCCAAUGUUGUAAAGACCCUUCAGUGCCUCAAGAGGAGGCCUGCUAUUGCAUUCGCCUACUUUAAAGACGCCGAGAGCGUCGGGUUUAGGCAUGACUUCUCCACUUACGCGGAGAUUGUCCACAUUUUAUCCCAUUCAGGCCAGGGGAGGAUGCUGUUUUCCUUGUUCUGUGAGAUCGUCUCGCCGACUAGCGGCGGCGGUCCUGAAAUUGUGCCUCUCAUGGAUCAGCUCAAAAGAACAUGCACUACUUCAUAUCCACUCUUGUUUGCAACUAAUUGCUUAAUCACGGCAUGCACCACUUGCUGCGAUGCACGAGACACAAUUGGAUUAUUUGGUGAGCUUUGUAGGCUUGGAGUUGUCCCGCCAGUUUGGACUUGCAACAUACUUCUCAAAUUUGCAGCUGAGAGCUGUGACUCGGAGAUUGUUCUAUCAGCUUAUGAUGAAAUGAAGUUCUUUAGACUUACUUUGGAUGCUCAUUCAUUGCGCAUUAUCACUAGGUCUCUUUUUCAAGAAAAGAAGGCAGACAAAGCAUUCAAAGUGUGGGUUGAGAUGAUUGAAAUGGGGGUGAAACCAGAUGUACAUGGACACUCAUCAUUUAUAAUUGGUCUUUGUGAGUGUGGAAAAAUUGAUUUAGCUUAUGCAAUUCUGCAAGAGAUCAUCAGGGAGAAGGUUCAAGUUGAGGCCAUAGCUUUUAACGUGGUAAUGGAUGGGCUAUGCAAGGAAAUGAGGUUGGAGGAGGUCGAAAAGCUAUUGGAGAACAAGGUCAGACAAGGAUUAACCCCAGAUAUAUAUGGUUAUAGCUAUCUUAUUAGAAGUUACUGCAAAGUUGGCAACCUACUUAAGGUGUUGGAUCAUUAUCAAGCCAUGGUAUCCCAUGGUUUAGAAGCAAAUUGUCACAUUAUGAGUUAUCUUCUACAAUGCUUUACGAAGUUAGGCAUGGCAUCCCAAGUUACAGAGUAUUUCCAGAAAUUUAGAGAUUCAGGUCUCCAUAUAGAUGGGGUUCUUUAUAACAUUGCUAUGGAUGCUUAUUGCAAGCUUGGGAACAUGGAUGAGGCGGUUAAGCUACUGGGAGAAAUGAUGACUGUGGGCCUGUCACCUGACAGAAUCCACUAUACAUGCCUGAUCAAGGGUUACUGUUUGAAGGGAGAUAUACAAAAUGCAAGGCAAGCAUUUGAAGAGAUGCUGAAGGCCAAUGUAAAGCCAGAUGUAGUUACAUAUAACAUAUUGGCCAGUGGAUUAUCCAAGCGUGGUCUUGUUAUGGAGGUGUUUGACCUUAUAGGGCACAUGGAGGAUCGAGGAUUGCAGCCUAAUUCCCUUACUUAUGGUGUAGUAAUUGAUGGGUUCUGCAGAGGCGACAACCUUAGUGAAGCAGAGGUGUUAUUUAAUAUAGUAGAAGAAAAAGGAAUUGAUAACAUUGAAGUAUUGUACAGUUCAAUGGUUUGUGGCUAUUUGCAUAAAGGCUGGACUGAUAAUGCUUACGUCCUUUUUCUUAGGGUUGCUAAGCAAGGAAAACUUGUGGAUCGUUUCUCAUGUUCUAAGUUGAUAAGUGACCUUUGUAGGGAUGGAAAUUCCCAGGGAGCUUCAACUGUAUGUAGCACGAUGUUAGAAAAGAAUGAUGUUCCUGAUUUAAUUUCAUAUAGCAAACUCAUAUCAGCCUAUUGUCAGACUGGAGAUAUGCGCAAUGCUCGCUUAUGGUUCCAUGAUAUGGUUCAGCGAGGACUUCCUGUUGAUGUUAUUGUAUACACUGUACUAAUGAAUGGUUACUGCAAGAUUGGUCUGAUGCAAGAAGCUUGUGAAUUAUUUGCUCAGAUGACAAGUUUAGGGAUCAAGCCUGACAUAAUUGCAUAUACGGUGCUAUUGGAUGGUCACCUAAAGGAGGACCUGCAGCGACGCUGGCAGGGCAUCAGUAGGGACAAAAGGAGCUUGCUACUUAGAGCAAAACAGAACAGGUUGCUCAGCUCUAUGAAAGAAAUGGAAAUUGAACCUGAUGUACCCUGUUAUACUGUAUUGAUUGAUGGACAGUGCAAAUCAGAUUAUUUAGAGCAAGCUCGGGGACUAUUUGAUGAGAUGUUGCAGAAAGGACUUACUCCUGAUCAUUAUGCAUACACAGCUCUGAUAAAUGGAUAUUGCAGCCAAGGCGAAGUAGCAAAGGCUGAAGAUCUUUUUCAAGAAAUGGUAGAUAAGGGAAUAAAACCAGAUGUACUGACCUUUUCUGUCCUAAAUCGGAGGGUUUUGAGGAAUAGGCAGGAUCAGUCAUAUGUAUGAUUUCCCUUCAGUUAUAUCAACUGAAAAGAUCACGUCAACAGGAAGAGUAAUGGCAUACCAUGCACCACAAGCCAUGCUUGAAUCGAUAAAUCUGGUGGGUACAUAAUUAUGUUUCUCUGCAGUCAUUGUGAUGGUGGUGUGCUCCUGUCACUCUGAGGCCGCCUACAUCAGAAUAUGAAGCCACAGUCCCAUGUUCCACAACUGAAGCCACCAUGGCUCACCGAGCUCAGGCCGCUAUGGCCUGUUGUUGAAGUCAUAGGCUCAUAGCCGUUGCUGUUUGCCCGGAGGUCGGUAGGUAGUAGCUGUUAAUUGCCCAAGAUCAACCAUGGCCACUAUGUCAAAUGAUGCCAGCCUGCCAGCUGAAGUGAUGGAGUGGCAAUUUUCUCCAGUGAAGCAAAGGUGAAUGCUGAUGCUCGUAGUGCAUCGUAACAAGUUCUGAGCUUGUGAUGAUUGUUGUGGAAGAUGGAGAAGAAUGACAGCCUGGUCCUCGGUGCACUUAUUGUUUUUGAGACUGGUCCUAAUAGAAUUGGAGGGGGUGGAUAGAUCAUCAUGUACCUUCGUGGAUCUGUUGAAUUGGAGAAGCUAAAAACUGACACAGGGCUCAGCUCUGCGCUGUUGUGACCCUGGCCUAUGGGCUCUUCAUCUAUGGGGCCCACAUAUCAGUGGCCCCAUUGUGUUCUUCGAAAUGGAUCGAGUCACUUUGUUUGUUACCACCUCUCCCAAACUAACGGAUCUUCUUCUUCAACCAUGUAAAUCAAUGAACAUGUUCUACAUAAUCUGUUUGUUAUUGGAAUUUUGUACUGUGUAUUUUUUGCUA